RNAcentral lists this ribosomal RNA (465 nucleotides) under uncultured bacterium. RNAcentral's name for it is "partial 16S ribosomal RNA". It matches the Rfam family "Bacterial small subunit ribosomal RNA", at positions 338 to 795 of the family's 1533-position model. The record is from RNAcentral.
CCUACGGGUGGCAGCAGUGGGGAAUAUUGCGCAAUGGGCGAAAGCCUGACGCAGCGACGCCGCGUGAGGGAUGAAGGUCUUCGGAUCGUAAACCUCUGUUAGCAGGGACGAACGGUCACUGUGCUAAUCAUCAGUGAAUUGCCGGUACCUGCAACGGAAGCACCGGCUAACUAGGUGGCAGCAGCCGCUGAUAUACGGAGGGUGCGAGCGUGACUCGGAAUUACUGGGCGUAAAGCUCUCGUAGGCGGUAUGUCAAGUCAAGGGUGAAAUCCCCGGGCUCAACGUGGGAACUGCAUUUGAAACUGGCAAACUGGAGUGUGUGAGAGGAUAGUGGAAUUCCAGGUGUAGGAGUGAAAUCCGUAGAUAUAUGGAGGAACAUCAGUGGCGAAGGCGACUAUCUGGCACAUAACUGACGCUGAGGAGCGAAAGCGUGGGUAGCAAACAGGAUUAGAUACCCCUGUAGUC